This 626-nucleotide ribosomal RNA is filed under the name Streptomyces sp. ATT501. RNAcentral's name for it is "bacterial SSU rRNA". It matches the Rfam family "Bacterial small subunit ribosomal RNA", at positions 34 to 674 of the family's 1533-position model. Lineage: Bacteria; Bacillati; Actinomycetota; Actinomycetes; Kitasatosporales; Streptomycetaceae. The record is from RNAcentral.
CGCUGGCGGCGUGCUUAACACAUGCAAGUCGAACGAUGAACCUCCUUCGGGAGGGGAUUAGUGGCGAACGGGUGAGUAACACGUGGGCAAUCUGCCCUUCACUCUGGGACAAGCCCUGGAAACGGGGUCUAAUACCGGAUAUGACGCGCGACCGCAUGGUCUGUGCGUGGAAAGCUCCGGCGGUGAAGGAUGAGCCCGCGGCCUAUCAGCUUGUUGGUGGGGUAAUGGCCUACCAAGGCGACGACGGGUAGCCGGCCUGAGAGGGCGACCGGCCACACUGGGACUGAGACACGGCCCAGACUCCUACGGGAGGCAGCAGUGGGGAAUAUUGCACAAUGGGCGAAAGCCUGAUGCAGCGACGCCGCGUGAGGGAUGACGGCCUUCGGGUUGUAAACCUCUUUCAGCAGGGAAGAAGCGAGAGUGACGGUACCUGCAGAAGAAGCGCCGGCUAACUACGUGCCAGCAGCCGCGGUAAUACGUAGGGCGCAAGCGUUGUCCGGAAUUAUUGGGCGUAAAGAGCUCGUAGGCGGCUUGUCACGUCGGAUGUGAAAGCCCGGGGCUUAACCCCGGGUCUGCAUUCGAUACGGGCAGGCUAGAGUUCGGUAGGGGAGAUCGGAAUUCCUGGU